RNAcentral lists this long non-coding RNA (273 nucleotides) under Elaeis guineensis (African oil palm). RNAcentral's name for it is "long non-coding RNA (EGUI_LNC060652)". The record is from RNAcentral. Lineage: Eukaryota; Viridiplantae; Streptophyta; Magnoliopsida; Arecales; Arecaceae.
GCUGGGGGAGUCAAUAUAAAGGCUAAGGAAUAAAUUAAGCACAGAAGCAAGAAAGAGAAAAAAGUGAAUUAACCUACUUCGAGAAAAGAUCCCAGAGAGUCUCAGACCCGCAGCUCAGGAUCCGCAAGGAUAAUCCUUUGGAUGACCUCGGACAGAAUGCAUCCUUCGACCAGCCUCUUUAUUAAAUCUCUGUUGUUGAAGGGAUUUUCCCUCAGGUCUUCCUCGGAGCCAUCGGCCCCCUCGAUGGCAGCCUUGAGACUGUGGCUCUUCCAG